Molecule: long non-coding RNA, 1255 nt
Filed under: Canis lupus dingo (dingo)
Lineage: Eukaryota; Metazoa; Chordata; Mammalia; Carnivora; Canidae
Description: lncRNA (ENSCAFG00020010209.1)
Source: RNAcentral
GGGACGGGGGGGGAGGGGGCGCUGCUCGUCCAGGGUCGCUCACCGUCACGCGGGGCGCUGCGCCGUCCGGAGCUGCUCCCGCGCGCAGAGGCCCGAGGACAGUGUCACGAGGUCGGCGGUCGCGACCGCUGGGGCUGGAGCGACAGGCCUGCAGGCGCCCGGCCGCCGCGGAUACGGGGCGGGGGAGGGGCGGCCAGAGGACGGCAUCAGCUGAGGCCGGGCGCUGCUGCAACCUGCGUCCGCGCCUGCGCACAGCGCCUUCGUAGGUGGGUGACCCAGGCGCGGGCCCCACGCAUGCGUCCUUCUGACCCUUCGCUACAGCCCGGAAGCGCCGCGGCGGCUCUAGUUUGUUCACCCUGCAGGCUUUUUCCUUUAGCAAAAGGAAAAAAAAAAAGACUCUGCCUCAACCCUCAGCUGAGCAGCUUUGCCGGUCGUCGCUGACGCUCGCGACGCUGGGAAUGGGAUCAACUGGUUGGUAGACAGGCGUCGGGCAGCCAAAAAGUCACAUCCUUUAAAAUUUAGAAGCUUUGACUUGGUAGAAGGAAGCUAAGUGCGGCAGGAGCCCUGUCUUUUGUUCCUGGUUGGUCUGGUGUUGCUGGUUUUGCGCGUAGGUCACCGUCCUCCACCCCCUGGUCCCCUAAGUCCCAGGUGAGUGACCGCGGUGGGAGCCCAGCCCGAACCCCGGUGCUUCCGAUCGUCGCCGGGCCUUGAGGCUAGUGUCUCAAAGGCUGGGCUGUCUCGUUUGGAAUAACAAUACGGAGUUGUUUUAAGGAUUGAGUGAGAUCCAGAAAAUACCUGUCAAGCGCAGACUAGACUCUGUUGCCUGCAGAGAAAUUUUAACGUUUCAUGAAUGUUAGCUGCUGUUACCAUCAUGGUCACCGCAUACAUGGGAAGGAAGGACGGAAGGAAGGAAUGGAAUUUUAUUUCUCUUUGGGCAGGACCGGUUUGUUUCGCUGGUGGAAUAUGAAGAUACGUGAAAGUAAGAAAUACAAGUCAAAAUAAUACAUAAUUUUUUUUUUGAAGAUUUAAAGUUACUACAGCUAAGUCUUCACAAUGUUGGUGAACAUGCAAUCUCAUAACAUGUAUUAAGACUAUUAAAAUUUGGGGGCACCUAAAAAAAAUUGGGGUGGGGGCACCUGGCUGGCUGAAUAGAAGCAAGAUGGGACUCGAUUUCAAGGUCCUGAGUUACAGAGCCACCUUGGGUGUAAAGAUUACUAAAAAUAAAUUAAAUAAACUAAUUUUUGGGACUUUAAUU